AAUCAGUGAGCUAGUAGGGUGACCGCGAAUGGCUCAUUAAAUCAGUUAUGGUUCCUUAGAUGAUACCACAAUAAUUGGAUAACUGUGGUAAUUCUAGAGCUAAUACAUGCAAAAAAUCCUGACCAGAAAUGGAAGGGAUGCUUUUAUUAGAUCAAAACCAUUCGGCCGGCCUGGUCCGGUCGCUUGCUUUGGUGACUCUGGAUAACAUUAUGCUGAUCGCGUGGUCCUCGCACCGCGACGCAUCUUUCAAAUGUCUGCCUUAUCAACUGUCGAUGGUAGGCUCUGCGCCUACCAUGGUUGUAACGGGUAACGGGGAAUCAGGGUUCGAUUCCGGAGAGGGAGCCUGAGAAACGGCUACCACAUCCAAGGAAGGCAGCAGGCGCGCAAAUUACCCACUCCCGGCACGGGGAGGUAGUGACGAAAAAUAACGAUACGGGACUCAUCCGAGGCCCCGUAAUCGGAAUGAGAACACUUUAAACCCUUUAACGAGUAUCCAUUGGAGGGCAAGUCUGGUGCCAGCAGCCGCGGUAAUUCCAGCUCCAAUAGCGUAUAUUAAAGUUGCUGCGGUUAAAAAGCUCGUAGCUGGAUGUGUGUCCCACGCUGUCGGUUCACCGUUCGUCGGUGUUAACUGGCAUGCCCGUGAGGACGUCCUGCCGGUGGAUGCGGCCGGCCGUGGGCCUCUGGUCAACGUGUCGGCGGUCCGAUGCAAUCCUACCGCGGUGCUCUUCACCGAGUGUCGAGGUGGGCCGGCAUGUUUACUUUGAACAAAUUAGAGUGCUCAAAGCAGGCAGGGUUCGCCUGAAUAUUGUGUGCAUGGAAUAAUGGNAAUAGGACCUCGGUUCUAUUUUGUUGGUUUACAGAACUUGAGGUAAUGAUUAAGAGGGACAGAUGGGGGCAUUCGUAUUGCGACGUUAGAGGUGAAAUUCUUGGAUCGUCGCAAGACGAACCUAAGCGAAAGCAUUUGCCAUAGAUGUUUUCAUUAGUCAAGAACGAAAGUUAGAGGUU
RNAcentral lists this ribosomal RNA (1005 nucleotides) under Phraortes illepidus. RNAcentral's name for it is "SSU rRNA". It matches the Rfam family "Eukaryotic small subunit ribosomal RNA", at positions 67 to 998 of the family's 1831-position model. The record is from RNAcentral. Lineage: Eukaryota; Metazoa; Arthropoda; Insecta; Phasmatodea; Lonchodidae.